Non-coding RNA from Podarcis lilfordi (Lilford's wall lizard), 79 nucleotides. The record is from the annotation of a GenBank genome assembly. Lineage: Eukaryota; Metazoa; Chordata; Lepidosauria; Squamata; Lacertidae.
GGGGGGUGGGCUGCAGCUCUCUGAAAGAGCAUCUGUUUUGAGUGCAGAAGGCUCCAGGUUCAAUCCCUGGCAUCUCUCG